This 77-nucleotide transfer RNA is filed under the name Actinomycetes bacterium. Its description in RNAcentral is "tRNA-Arg". It matches the Rfam family "tRNA". Rfam says of the family: Transfer RNA (tRNA) molecules are approximately 80 nucleotides in length. Their secondary structure includes four short double-helical elements and three loops (D, anti-codon, and T loops). Lineage: Bacteria; Bacillati; Actinomycetota; Actinomycetes. The record is from RNAcentral. RNAcentral also lists the same sequence under 3 other names.
GCGCUCGUAGCUCAGCCGGAUAGAGCAACUGCCUUCUAAGCAGUCGGUCGCAGGUUCAAGUCCUGCCGAGCGCACCA